RNAcentral lists this ribosomal RNA (397 nucleotides) under Sphingobacterium sp. WTPout_56. RNAcentral describes it as "bacterial SSU rRNA". It matches the Rfam family "Bacterial small subunit ribosomal RNA", at positions 46 to 433 of the family's 1533-position model. Lineage: Bacteria; Pseudomonadati; Bacteroidota; Sphingobacteriia; Sphingobacteriales; Sphingobacteriaceae. The record is from RNAcentral.
GCCUAAUACAUGCAAGUCGGACGGGAUUCAGGGAGUAGCUUGCUACGAACUGAUGAGAGUGGCGCACGGGUGCGUAACGCGUGAGCAACCUACCCAUAUCAGGGGGAUAGCCUCUCGAAAGAGAGAUUAACACCGCAUAACAUUGAAGAACGGCAUCGUUUUUCAAUCAAAUAUUUAUAGGAUAUGGAUGGGCUCGCGUGACAUUAGCUAGUUGGAGAGGUAACGGCUCACCAAGGCUACKAUGUCUAGGGGCUCUGAGAGGAGAAUCCCCCACACUGGUACUGAGACACGGACCAGACUCCUACGGGAGGCAKCAGUSASGAAUAUUGGUCAAUGGAGGCAACUCUGAACCAGCCAUGCCGCGUGCAGGAUGACUGCCCUAUGGGUUGUAAACUGC